Molecule: long non-coding RNA, 196 nt
Organism: Carlito syrichta (Philippine tarsier)
Lineage: Eukaryota; Metazoa; Chordata; Mammalia; Primates; Tarsiidae
Exons: 3
Source: RefSeq, a predicted model, not a curated record
CAGAACAAGUACCAGCAGGCAGAGGAGCUAUACAAGGAGAUCCUCAGCGGCGAAGACCUGCCCGCGCCCCUGGGAGCCCCCAACACAGGUGCAGCUGGUGACGCAGCACAGCAGGCCCUUCGGCGCAGCAGCUCCUUCUCCAAGCUCCGCGAGUCCAUCCGGCGUGGAAGCGAGAAGUUGGUGUCCCGCCUCCGAG